GAUCCGCAGCCGGACGGAUCACAUGACACAGGCAGUCGGUGACAUUUUGUCCCCCAACUGCAGCCGAGUUCAGCGGCCGUGUCAGCAGUUGUGCAUUGGCACAGAGGUCUUUACCUCCGUACUGCGUUCGUACUGACC
This 138-nucleotide non-coding RNA is filed under the name unclassified sequences. RNAcentral's name for it is "xerDC RNA". It matches the Rfam family "xerDC RNA". The record is from RNAcentral.